UGCGGCAAAAUUCACACAAGUGCCCUCCCUGUCAUUGAGCGCACUUGCAAGGAACGCUGCCACAGGAAAGCAGCAUCCAUCAUCAAGGACCCCCACCAUGCAGGCCGUGCUCUCUUCUCGCUGCUGUCAUCA
Mobula hypostoma (lesser devil ray) is the source of this 132-nucleotide small nucleolar RNA. RefSeq annotates it as small nucleolar RNA SNORA5. Lineage: Eukaryota; Metazoa; Chordata; Chondrichthyes; Myliobatiformes; Myliobatidae. The record is from RefSeq and is a predicted model, not a curated record. The transcript has a single exon.